RNAcentral lists this ribosomal RNA (445 nucleotides) under uncultured bacterium. RNAcentral's name for it is "partial 16S ribosomal RNA". It matches the Rfam family "Bacterial small subunit ribosomal RNA", at positions 354 to 796 of the family's 1533-position model. The record is from RNAcentral.
GUGAGGAAUAUUGGACAAUGGGCGCAAGCCUGAUCCAGCCAUGCCGCGUGCAGGAAGACGCAUCUAUGGUGUGUAAACUGCUUUUGUACGGGAAGAAACACUCCCUCGUGAGGGAGCUUGACGGUACCGUAAGAAUAAGGAUCGGCUAACUCCGUGCCAGCAGCCGCGGUAAUACGGAGGAUCCAAGCGUUAUCCGGAAUCAUUGGGUUUAAAGGGUCCGUAGGCGGUUUAAUAAGUCAGUGGUGAAAGCCCAUCGCUCAACGAUGGAACGGCCAUUGAUACUGUUAGACUUGAAUUCCAAGGAAGUAACUAGAAUAUGUAGUGUAGCGGUGAAAUGCUUAGAUAUUACAUGGAAUACCAAUUGCGAAGGCAGGUUACUACUUGUGGAUUGACGCUGAUGGACGAAAGCGUGGGGAGCGAACAGGAUUAGAUACCCGAGUAGUCC